This 4832-nucleotide long non-coding RNA is filed under the name Triticum aestivum (bread wheat). Its description in RNAcentral is "long non-coding RNA (TAES_LNC010509)". Lineage: Eukaryota; Viridiplantae; Streptophyta; Magnoliopsida; Poales; Poaceae. The record is from RNAcentral.
UCCGCCUCAUCCCCGGUGGGAGGUCCUUCACCAAUCCGUCCAGCGGUCCAAACCCACCGCCCGAGGCCGUUCACCUUCGCAACACCCCUUUUCAGCAGCCAUCGUGAGGUACACCCUGCUCAGAAUUUCUCCUCUCCAGCUCCCGACUGCAAAGAUCUCUGUGCCUCCUUUCGAACUGCCAUUUUAUUUUGAAUUGAAGUAUGGGUGCUCUUGAUUCAGACCUUUGGGAAGAAAGGAAGAACCUUUCUCUCGUAGGCCGUCAUAGAUGGAUCGGCGAGAUUUGUCCGGCUCAGUGUUAGUGGUAAUAAACAAGUCAUUAGGCGAGCACAUUCGUUGGAUAAAGAAUUAGAUGUGGGGUUCUAGGACCUGUACAGGUUGUUACUGAAUACUAGUACUGAUGAGUGACAACAUAUGGUCGCUAGAUCAGAUGGACCCAGCACCAUGAAGAGAUCAGAUUGCCACUUACACCGAUCACCAUCAGUUCUAUUAGCGAAGCAGCAGUAUGAUUGCUAGGACUAUGCUCUCUCUCUCUCUCUCUCUCUCUCUCUCUCUCUCUCUCUCUCCCGUGAGCUCCUCCAUAAAGAGACAGUGUUGUUGAUUUUAUUCAUAUAUAGGAAAGUAAACCAAAACAGUGGUUGCUACUAGUGUUUGGAAAUUAUAAUUACUAGAACUCUUAUUUCUCACCCUUUUAAUUGCUGGCUAAUUCUUGUAAAAAGUAGUGGUUAAUCUUGCUAAUUACUUUGAUGAGAUGCCUAGGUGUUCAGUCCAGCUCCUGCAACCAACACGGGUCAUUGCCCUUUUUGCCACAACGGCAGCAGCACAAACACGAGCGUGGUCGUCCUCAAACCGGUUCCUCACGCGGCCUCCGCGCAAGCCCUGCUCAUGUAUGCUUACACCAAAAGUACAAAUCUUGCUACUCUCCUCGUACUUGCACUUGCUUAUUUUCUAAGCAAUAAUCCUAUUGCUUCCUCUUGGGGAAAGGGAUCCCAUGUUGAAGCUGUCUUGGUGCUCACCCGCUGUUUAUAUUCAUCACCAUAGUGUACGAAACAUAUGAAAACCAUUCUGACUUAAGAGAAAAUAUAACCAGUACAUGUGCAAUUGCGUGAGAAGUUCCCUUAUGAAAGUUCCUUGUAAACAAACCACAUGAAAGUUCAUCAAGAGAACUUUGUAAGUUCAAAAUGGCUAUAGGAAAAAAAAUUAGCUUCAGAUGGGUAUAGAAAACUUUGUAAGUUCAAAAUGGGCACGCCUAACAGUGCAUGAAUAAAAAAAUUAAACCCAACAAAGUCCAUGUUGGUUGGUCUACAGUGUGUUGUCAAGAAGGUUGUUGGCCUUGGAGGCUGACACUGGCUGAUCAUCUACCUUCCAAUUAUUAUUAGGCAUAUACCACUGAAACUGCAGGUCGCGCCCUCCUCCCACUGUAGGUCAUGCCCUCCUCCCGCAUAGCCUAUUGGUUGGCGUACCGUGACCCCUCCUCAUAUUUUUGGUAUGAAUUUGAUGAAUCUUCUUGAUGCUUUGUUCUUAUUCAUCUAGAUAUUCCUCCUCAUAUUGAUUGUUUGUAUUGCUUGUAUCGGUUUCGUUCUUGCAUGUAUGUAUCAGUUCGAUGUUUUGAGAUAGCUCAGAUUACUUCCAACUGUGAAGAUUGACAUGCAUAUUUGGGGAUGAGAUUUUCAGGUACUAGUUUGGCACUGUAUCUAACCCGUACUAAAAUAUUUCAGCAGUUCAACAGGGGCGCGGGGUUCAGUUCGACGGUCACGAGCCAGGGUUUAUUUCUUUUCUUAUUUGUAUUGCUUGGUCGUCAGGUCGCAGCCUCUUCCUUCUGCAGGCCAUGCCCCAUCCCCCCAUUCCCGCAGCGACCAGGCCAUUCACUGCCAGUUCCACAGUCCGUUCACUGCCGACAGCCAAGGCCGUUCAACGACGUAGCGACGAGGUAUGGCCUUCCCCCUUCCUCUUUUCAUGUAGCAUAUUCUUGUGUAGAUGUACAUUCAUGUGUAGUACAUUUGUGUAUUGUGUAUAUUCGUUUCAAGUUCAAAAAAAGGAUAAUAAAAAGGUUCAUAAAAGAACCCAGAACAUCCGGUAGCUCUGGAAUCUGGGAGUUCGGGAAAAAUUGAUCCAAAAUGAACAUGGAGAGGGUUUUGAUUGCAGAGAAGUUGCAGAACAAAAAGGAAAGGAAAACCAUUGUUUCUAUUGUUGUUAUUUUGUUGGCCUCAUGGUGUUUACUGAAAUGCCUACAACAACUUAACAUGUUUUCUUUUCAUGUUUGUCUUUUGUUAAAAUGAAGCUAAGGUGUUGUACUGCUCUAUUAUGUACAUCCGGGCAUGAUGCACAGAAUAAAACAUUAUGAGAUCCUUGGUUUACUUACAGGCAGGUCAUCAGUUCAAACCUAACACAGAAACUCCUUGCUUGGCAUUCGAGCUCUUAUUUUCCCAAGACUAGUACUGGUAAAUGUUAUUUCACUAUGUAUUCUUUCCUCAUUCCAUAGAGAAACAUGGGAAUAGUUCGAUCGUGUUGGAUAGAUAGUUCAAUUUUAUAUAUCAUAAGAAGAAAAGAACAUGUUUUGUAUAGGAGAAAAUCAAAAACAUUAUUAGCAACUCACUUUGUAUUCUACCAUCAGUUCUGUCUGUGUUAGAGAGAGGGUUCGGUGUCUCAUUGUUUUCACUUGCCCCCCAAAAAAUGUUAUGUUGCAGAUUAGGAACAUUGUAUUUACAUUUUUUUAAACAAAGAACUAAUCAGUUCAUAUAAGUUCAAAAAGACAAAGCGUCGAAAGUUCAAUUGAAAGCUCUCACCAGCGUCGUGACCUCCCCCAGCCAGCCCCCAUGGCUUGCCUCGAUGGUGCCCCCAAGCCGUUCUAGAACCACCAUGAUGAAUAGAAAUCCAUCCAACUAUUUACUUAUGCCCUCAUGAUCAUUUUAUUGUAUAAAUGUGCCUUUUCUGUUGGACUCUCCUUAUUUGCUUGUCAAAAUUUAGUUUUAGUCCACUACAAUUUCCAUGAGUGGAUUUAAAAACCAACAAAUGCACAGAUUAAAAAUGCAUACAACAACUACAAAAUAUCAAUUUAGUUCGGUCCAAAUUGUAAUUUUAGUUCAGUCCAAUUCCUAGUUUUACUUCAGUACAAAUUCCAAUUUUAGUUUAAUUCAAUUCUUGUUUUUUACCUCUAUUCAAUUUUACUUCAAUUCAAUUCAAUUUUUAGUUUAGUUAACUUCAAUUCUUAUUUUUUGUUUACUUGGACAAGAAGUUCAAUAUUAAAUGCCCAGAUAGUGCCUGGAAAAAGUGAAGAUAGGUUUGUAGUGAUGUUUAUGAUAGACUGGUAGUUGAAAGAUUUAGAGGUAAAAAAUAUUUUCUUGCAAUCUGCUGAAUGUUUCAAUUUGUUGCGUGCGAAUUUUGUUAUAGCAAAAAACUGAAUGGUGGGUAAGAUGACUAGUUAUGGCAAAAACAGUGAAACAAAGUUUUUUUAAAUCUCGGGUUAAUACAUGAACAUGGUCAUCUUUUUACAUGUACUUACAUCAGCUCGUCAGAGCUGUUCGUGUACUUGUAACACAAUCAACUCAGAUUUUGAGAUACUAUAAGUUCAGAGAAAAAAAAGGAGGCCGUUCACCCUUACAACCUCAAGUCGUUGACCUCCGCCGAACGAGGCCGUGCGACGACGCAACGAUCAGGCCAUCCACCUCUGCCACAGGAGGCCGUUCGAUGAUGCAGCGCUCAGGACGUUGUGUUUUUUUCAGUACAUGUUUUGUGUGUUUUCAAGUUCACCUACUUAACGAUAUUAUGUCCAAUUUCCCCUUUGUUUACAUGUUGUUCCUAUAGUACAAUAGGUGUUUCUGUUAUGCCUUAAUAAGCACUUAAGAAAACCUUGUAUGGAUCGAAACUACCAUAUGCUCUAUUCUAUUCUUGUAAAUGAAGCUCCACUUCUGUUUUGUUUGAAGUUACUUGGCAUAAAAAUUAGUAUAUGUUUUAUUGUAAAAACAUAUAUAAAAUGUCUUGAUGAAUGCUAGCAGAAAUCUGAAAAUAAACUCAGCACAGUUCCUAUAUUUUAUUCAAGUUCGAAGCUAAACAUUUCUAACAAGUUAUCGCUCCUUGCAGGAUACACACUAUUCAUCGCAUUUGUCAUCGAGCGAUUGCACCCCUAUCUUCAGAAGCUCAUCACCAUGAGGAAAUCAUUCAACACCUCCCAGAGAGGAGGUUGAAAAAUUCCAAAUGGAGUUCAAACAUGAAUUUGAGAAAAUGAUUCCCCGGCUAAGUUCGAAAAAUGUCAUUCUGUGAAGUUCGGCUAUUCAGCCAAUGGUGGAGUUGCAAUUUUGUUUCUUAUGUACAUACAUGAAUUGAAUGUAAUCAACGAAAAGAAACAUAUGUUGAUUCUCCAAGUUAGAGUUCAUUUUUAUUUUCUUACAAAGUAGCAAAACUUCCUUUGUGGGUGAGUAUAGCUUAUGUGCGAUCUUGUGUUCACUAAUCUUGUAGUAUUGUUUUUACAGGGAUCUUUCUAGUACUUUGUAAAGAAAGCGUGAUCCAUUUGUAAAAAUAUGGCAAAAGACAUCCUUCACUCUUGCAGUCUUUUGCUAAAAAAUGUUUUAAGUUCAAUGGAUGCCAUCGAGAAAGUUUAAACAUUUGAUAUUCAUGUGCUCAUAUUCUCUAGAUGAACGUUAUUUUUUUGCGACUCGUCUCAUACUUUGCGAGAUGAAAAAAUUUCUCUCCAUGUUUUCUACUCUUUAUAUGAGUGGUGAAAAGUACAUGUAUUACUAGUAUAUAAGUUCAAACAACAAAUCACAAUCAGUUCCGUGAAAAUGCAAAGAAGUUCAAAAAAAAAUAUAAAAAAAUUCUAGAGUCAAGUUCAAGUGCUG